RNAcentral lists this transfer RNA (76 nucleotides) under Caloranaerobacter azorensis. RNAcentral describes it as "tRNA-Val". It matches the Rfam family "tRNA". Rfam says of the family: Transfer RNA (tRNA) molecules are approximately 80 nucleotides in length. Their secondary structure includes four short double-helical elements and three loops (D, anti-codon, and T loops). The record is from RNAcentral. RNAcentral also lists the same sequence under 1 other name. Lineage: Bacteria; Bacillati; Bacillota; Tissierellia; Tissierellales; Thermohalobacteraceae.
GGGCGCGUAGCUCAGCUGGGAGAGCAUCUGCCUUACAAGCAGGAGGUCAUAGGUUCGAGCCCUAUCGCGCCCACCA